Molecule: ribosomal RNA, 444 nt
Filed under: uncultured Paucimonas sp.
Lineage: Bacteria; Pseudomonadati; Pseudomonadota; Betaproteobacteria; Burkholderiales; Burkholderiaceae
Description: bacterial SSU rRNA
Rfam family: Bacterial small subunit ribosomal RNA
Source: RNAcentral
UGGAUGAUGUGGAUUAAUUCGAUGCAACGCGAAAACCUUACCUACCCUUGACAUGUCAGGAACCCUGCUGAGAGGUGGGGGUGCCCGAAAGGGAACCUGAACACAGGUGCUGCAUGGCUGUCGUCAGCUCGUGUCGUGAGAUGUUGGGUUAAGUCCCGCAACGAGCGCAACCCUUGUCAUUAGUUGCUACGAAAGGGCACUCUAAUGAGACUGCCGGUGACAAACCGGAGGAAGGUGGGGAUGACGUCAAGUCCUCAUGGCCCUUAUGGGUAGGGCUUCACACGUCAUACAAUGGUGCAUACAGAGGGCUGCCAACCCGCGAGGGGGAGCUAAUCCCAGAAAGUGCAUCGUAGUCCGGAUUGUAGUCUGCAACUCGACUACGUGAAGUUGGAAUCGCUAGUAAUCGCGGAUCAGCAUGUCGCGGUGAAUACGUUCCCGGGUCUU